AUUGAACGCUGGCGGCAUGCUUUACACAUGCAAGUCGAACGGCAGCACGGGUGCUUGCACCUGGUGGCGAGUGGCGGACGGGUGAGUAAUACAUCGGAACGUGUCCAGAAGAGGGGGAUAACGCAUCGAAAGAUGUGCUAAUACCGCAUAUGCUCUGAGGAGGAAAGUGGGGGAUCGAAAGACCUUACGCUUUUUGGAGCGGCCGAUGUCUGAUUAGCUAGUUGGUGGGGUAAGGGCCUACCAAGGCGACGAUCAGUAGUUGGUCUGAGAGGACGACCAGCCACACUGGGACUGAGACACGGCCCAGACUCCUACGGGAGGCAGCAGUGGGGAAUUUUGGACAAUGGGCGCGAGCCUGAUCCAGCAAUGCCGCGUGAGUGAAGAAGGCCUCGGUUGUAAGUACUCUUUCUAGUCGAGAAGAAAGGACGUAGCGGUGAAGUAACUAGUAGUUUAUUGUACGGUA
Molecule: ribosomal RNA, 463 nt
Filed under: uncultured bacterium
Lineage: Bacteria
Description: bacterial SSU rRNA
Rfam family: Bacterial small subunit ribosomal RNA
Source: RNAcentral